This 405-nucleotide ribosomal RNA is filed under the name uncultured Anaerolineaceae bacterium. RNAcentral's name for it is "bacterial SSU rRNA". It matches the Rfam family "Bacterial small subunit ribosomal RNA", at positions 355 to 776 of the family's 1533-position model. The record is from RNAcentral. Lineage: Bacteria; Bacillati; Chloroflexota; Anaerolineae; Anaerolineales; Anaerolineaceae.
UGAGGAAUAUUGCUCAAUGGGCGAAAGCCUGAAGCAGCAACGCCGCGUGCGCGAUGAAGGCCUUCGGGUCGUAAAGCGCUUUUGAGAGGGACGAGAUAGGACGGUACCUCUGGAAUAAGUCACGGCUAACUACGUGCCAGCAGCCGCGGUAAAACGUAGGUGGCAAGCGUUAUCCGGAUUCACUGGGCGUAAAGCGCGUGCAGGUGGCCUCGUAAGUUGGACGUUAAAUCUCCCGGCCUAACCGGGAGGGGUCGUUCAAUACUGCGGGGCUGGAGGGCAGAAGAGGGGGGUGGAAUUGCUGGUGUAGUGGUGAAAUGCGUAGAUAUCAGCAGGAACACCUGUGGCGAAAGCGGCCCCCUGGUCUGCUCCUGACACUCAGACGCGAAAGCUAGGGGAGUGAACGGG